Molecule: ribosomal RNA, 401 nt
Filed under: uncultured prokaryote
Description: bacterial SSU rRNA
Rfam family: Bacterial small subunit ribosomal RNA
Source: RNAcentral
UGGGGAAUCUUGCACAAUGGGGGAAACCCUGACGCAGCGACGCCGCGUGAGCGAUGAAGCCCUUCGGGGUGUAAAGCUCUUUCGGCAGGGAAGAUAAUGACGGUACCUGCAGAAGCAGCUGCGGCUAACUACGUGCCAGCAGCCGCGGUAAUACGUAGGCAGCGAGCGUUGUUCGGAGUUACUGGGCGUAAGGGCGCGUAGGUGGGUCAUCAAGUCAAAUGUGAAAACCAGCGGCUCAACCGUUGGCCUGCAUUUGAUACUGUUGAUCUUGAGUACGGGAGAGGAAAGCGGAAUUCCUGGUGUAGCGGUGAAAUGCGUAGAUAUCAGGAGGAACACCGGUGGCGAAGGCGGCUUUCUGGCCCGAUACUGACACUGAGGCGCGAAGGCCGGGGGAGCAAACA